GGUCACUCCCCCUCCGCCGCUCGAGAGUUUGAUCCUGGCUCAGGAUGAACGCUGGCGGCGUGAUUAACACAUGCAAUUCGAACGAUGAAGCCCGUGCUUGCAGGGGUGGAUUAGUGGCGAACGGGUGAGUAACACGUGAGCAACCUGCCCUUGACUCUGGGAUAAGCGCUGGAAACGGUGUCUAAUACUGGAUAUGUGCCACGGCCGCAUGGUCUGUGGUUGGAAAGAUUUUUCGGUUGGGGAUGGGCUCGCGGCCUAUCAGAUUGUUGGUGAGGUAAUGGCUCACCAAGGCGUGGAGGGGUAGCCGGCCUGAUAGGGUGACCGGCCACACUGCGAUUGAGACACGGCCCAGACUCAUACGGGAGGCAGCAGUGGGGAAUAUUGCACAAUGGGAGGAAGCCUGACGCAGCAACGCCGCGUGAGGGAAGAGGGCAUUGGGGUUGUAAACCUAUUUAGCAGGAAGAAGCGAAAGUGACGUACUGCAGAAAGACCCGU
Molecule: ribosomal RNA, 495 nt
Filed under: Microbacterium bovistercoris
Lineage: Bacteria; Bacillati; Actinomycetota; Actinomycetes; Micrococcales; Microbacteriaceae
Description: bacterial SSU rRNA
Rfam family: Bacterial small subunit ribosomal RNA
Source: RNAcentral